Long non-coding RNA from Mustela erminea (ermine), 975 nucleotides. RefSeq lists it as uncharacterized. The transcript is spliced from 6 exons. The record is from RefSeq and is a predicted model, not a curated record. Lineage: Eukaryota; Metazoa; Chordata; Mammalia; Carnivora; Mustelidae.
CAGGACCUGAGCUGAAGGUGGACACUUAGCUGACCGAGCCACCCAGGCAUCCCUACCUUGGACUUUUUAAUUUGCCUAAACAUUAGCAGACCAGGGGAAGGUAGAGAUGUGCGGGCCAUGCGAGAUUGCAACGUGUUGGAAAGAACAUGGCAGUGACCGUGGGAAUGAUGCCAGGCGAAGAGCAACUUCCCUGAAAAGUAAGAGUGCUGUUAGAGAAACGGGAUGAGUUAAUUUCCAGGCUCCAUUUUACAAAUUGGCCCCUCUUCCGUUUGCCUUCACCCAAAACCCUGAACAAUCAAGCACCACCUUCCAUACAGAGCAGGAUGACAAAAGAAAGCCUUCAUGUGUAUGGCCUUUUGAAGGAUGAGUUCACUGAAGCCCCCUGUGAUGCCGCAGUCUCCAUCAGCCUACACAACAGGCAGCCUUGCAAGAUUCCUGGCUCCCUGCCUUUCCCGGGCAAGCUGUCAUUGAGCCAGUGGGAAAAUUACCUCCUGGGUGGCACGAUCUCUGGAUUGCCACAGAAUACUUACCCGCUCCGUUGCCACGGACUCUCGCCCCUUCUCUGCCCUCUGCAACCCUCCUUCUCUCGGUGAGGCUGCCCCUUCUCUACGUCUAGGGCUCUCAAAGAAUGCCAUCUUCAAAUUGACUCAUGUUCUUCAACAGACUGAGAUUUCUAUGUGUAUCCUGGUACAGCUCUUUGGUUGGUGAGGAGCAGAAACCGGUUGAAGAAGCUGGAGGAAAAGAAAAGAUGACUGUGAAAACCUGCUAGGAAACAAACUACGGCCGGCUCCCUAUGAACUAGAACCUGAAACUGGGGAGCCAUCUGCUGAGAGACUCUCCACCCGGUGUUUAUUGGGUUCCCACCAUGCCAGGUACUAUUCUAGAAGCUGGGGAGUCAGCGGAGCGUGGGGUGAUGGCCAGUAGAUACAUUAACCAGUGACAAUGUCAGAAGAUGGUGUUUGGAAAACAAUAAAA